RNAcentral lists this ribosomal RNA (479 nucleotides) under uncultured bacterium. RNAcentral describes it as "bacterial SSU rRNA". It matches the Rfam family "Bacterial small subunit ribosomal RNA", at positions 328 to 793 of the family's 1533-position model. The record is from RNAcentral.
UCAGUCGACUCCUACGGGGGAGGCAGCAGUGGGGGAAUAUUGCACAAUGGGGGGAAACCCUGAUGCAGCCAUGCCGCGUGUGUGAAGAAGGCCUUCGGGUUGUAAAGCACUUUCAGUAGGGAGGAAGGUAGUGUAGUUAACACCUGCAUUAUUUGACGUUACCUACAGAAGAAAGCACCGGCUAACUCCGUGCCAGCAGCCGCGGUAAUACGGAGGGUGCGAGCGUUAAUCGGAAUUACUGGGCGUAAAACGCAUGCAGGCGGCCUGUUAAGUCAGAUGUGAAAGCCCGGGGCUUAACCUCGGAAUUGCAUUUGAAACUGGCAGGCUAGAGUCUUGUAGAGGGGGGUAGGAAUUUCAGGUGUAGCGGUGAAAUGCGUAGAGAUCUGAAGGAAUACCAGUGGCGAAGGCGGCCCCCUGGACAAAGACUGACGCUCAGAUGCGAAAGCGUGGGGAGCAAACAGGAUUAGAUACCCUGGUAG